UUUAGGCUGGGUUUCUGUACAGCACUUUGAGAUAUCAGCUGAUGUACGAAGGGCUAUAUAAAAAUAAAAAUAAAAAUAAAAUAAAUUUGAUUUGAUUUGAUUUGUAUACUGUAUGUUUGCACUCACACACCCGUUGUCUGUCUGUCUGUCUGUCUGUCUGUAGUUGUUCCACUCGGUACAGACCACCUCCACUGAGCUGUUGAAGGUGAUUGAGAAAUACCAGCGGAGGAUCACGCACCUGUCUCAGGAGGAGAAUGAGUUCGGGAUGUUUCUGAGGUUCCAGGCAGAACACAACCGCACCAAGGCUGGCAACAUGAUGGACGCAACUAGCAAGGCCCUGUGUGCCUCGGCCAAGCAGAGGCUGGUCCUGUGCCCACCCCUACACCGGAUGGAGCAGGAGGUGGAGACGUUUCGGCGACGUGCGAUCGCUGACACGCUCCUGACCGUGACCCGGAUGGAGAAAUCCAGGACAGAAUACCGUGGAGCGCUGCUCUGGAUGAAGGACGUCUCUCAGGAACUCGACCCGGACACCUGUAAACAUCUGGACAAGUUCCGCAAGGUGCAGUCCCAGGUCAGAGGUUCGAAGGACCUGUUUGAGAAGCUGAAGAACGAUGUGUGUCAGAAGGUUGACAUGCUGGGAGCCUCCCGCUGUAACAUGCUGUCUCACUCUCUCUGCACAUACCAGAUCACCCUCCUCCAGUUCUGGGAGAGGACCGCCUGUGUGAUGAGUGGGAUUCAUGAGUCUUUUAAAGGCCUUGUCCCCUACCAGUUCACCACUCUCAAGGACCUCCGGGACCCUCUGGAGCAGCUGACUGAUUUAGACCUAACCAACCAGGACCAUAACAAAGAGAAGGACAUACAGAGUAACAGUCUGGUCUCUCUGGAUGAAGAGAAGCCAUCAGAAUCAGCCUCUGGCCCCUUCCAUGCUGCUGAUGGACAGAGCCACACCAGUGAAAGCUCUCUGUGUGCUAGUCUGGACUCUGCCCUGUGUGACCUCAGUGGGCAUCUCAGUACAGCCAGCACUGAUGACGACCUCUCACUCCUGGCCUGUGACCAGCCCCAGCCUGGCCUCUCCUCCUCCAUGCAGCCUCUGGCCCCUCUUCAGACCACAGCAGCCUCUGGUGGUCCCUGGGGGUUUGGAGGUGGGGACCUCUGUGGAAGCUCUCUACAGCAGCAGGGUCCCAGGGUGGGGGACAAGGAGGAGGAGGACAGAGAGACCGGGGACAUGGCCUUUCUGAAGGACCUCCUGUGCCCUGGACCAAUGGACGCAGACGAGUUCAGUCGAGAGUGGCAAGGCACCUUUGGCUGCUUAGAGUUCUCUGACCCUGUCCCCCCCACAGCCCCCACCCCCGCCCUAGUCCCUCCUCCCCCUACUGGAGCAGCCUGCCUCCCCUCUCAGUCCCCCAGUCCCACUGGCUUCCUGCCCUCCCAGCUGCUGGACCACAGUCUGAGUUCUACAGGCUGGGCGACGCCUCCCAUGUUCCAGGCUCCGCCCCUACAGUCCCCAGUGUCUGGCCAGGUCCAGUCAGCUAAGGGUGGCCCAACGUCAACAGCCAAUGUUCCUAAAGCUGCAUCGCGGGACAUGUCUGCAUGGUUCAACCUGUUUGCUGAUCUGGACCCCCUCUCUAACCCUGACACCAUCGGACGCUCUGAUGAUGAGAUCCUCAAUGCCUGAGGGGUGUGUGUGUGUGUGUGUGUCUAGUUCCUAAAGCUGCAUCGCGGGACAUGUCUGCAUGGUUCAACCUGUUUGCUGAUCUGGACCACCUCUCUAACCCUGACACCAUCGGACGCUCUGAUGAUGAGAUCCUCAAUGCCUGAGGGGUGUGUGUGUGUGUGUGUGUGUGUGUGUGUGUGUGUGUGUGUGUGUGUGUGUGUGUCUAGUUCCUAAAGCUGCAUCGCGGGACAUGUCUGCAUGGUUCAACCUGUUUGCUGAUCUGGACCCCCUCUCUAACCCUGACACCAUCGGACGCUCUGAUGAUGAGAUCCUCAAUGCCUGAGGGGGGUGUGUGUAGUUACUGUAUACUUUGUAAUGUCUGUAAUAUUCUAUAUUGAUGAUUGAGGAGGAUUUGACUGAGAUUCAUCUUCUAUACAGGAUAUGUACUGUAAGUGGGGUGGGCUUAACCUUAGAGAUAUAAUAUAGAACCUAACACCUGAUUGGUUGUCUAUAGUCUAUAGUACUAAUUAUAAAGCGUUAGUUUGGGUCCUGAAUUCUGAUUGGCUGAAACAGCAUUCCAGUCGUGUAUAUCAGACAAUAUACCACAACUCCUAGUUUCCUGUUCCGUUUAUGUUGGUGAGCAGUUUCGAAUAAAUGUAAUGUAAAUGAAUAGCAAUACUGUGUUGGUGGUGUAUGGCCAGUAUAGCACUGCUAAGGGCUGUAUCCUGGAACUCUGCUUCGCGUCGUGCCAACAGCCCUUAUGCGGGGUAUAUUGGCCAUAUAUCACAGCUCCUCUGGCCUCAUUGCUUAACUAACGACUCCCCGGAAUCUGAUCCGUUUUUGGGUCUAAAGGAAGUCGAAGGAAAGUAUCCACACUGGAGUGAUGUGGAACUAUGCCAAGCAAGGGACAGCUUAUACAGUGGGUUAACAUUGGCUUUAGGUCAUCACUGUCUCCCCCAUCACUGAUUAUUUGGACGAAGGCGGUGUGAUAAAAUCAGCAGGGGGGGGGCAAACCCGGAACGCCCAAUUUAUUAAACACAUGGACCCAGAGACCCAGAACAUGGACCCAGAGACCCCCAUAACAUGGACCCAGAGACCCAGAACAUGGACCAUGGACCCAGAACUAAAUCGUGCAGCUGUGAGUUAACUGAGAUGAUGUCUAAGAUAGUUUUGCUGAUGGUCUAAUCAUGUAAACUGCAGCAUCUGGUUCUUGUCUCCACUACAAGAACUGGAUUUGAUACAUCUCCCCUUGCUAAUACUACCAUACAGCCCUUUUAGCAGGUAGGAUUUAUACUGUACUGUAGUCACAUAAAUCACCUAGGAAACAGCUUGUUUUACCUCACUGAAGCUCAUAUCACUGAUUCUGUUUUCGUGAUACAGGAACUCUAGAAGCUUUUCUCUGGAAUACGUUUGAUGGUUGUUUAUCUUCUGAAUCACCAGGAGCGAAAGCAGAAGCAGAUAGCUCUGAUCUUUUCAUGAGAAGAAUGGGAAUAUAUUCUAAAAUGGAGUAAAUAGUUUUCCCCCUCAUUAAUCUACACACAAUACCCUUAUAAUGACAAAGCAAAAUAGCUUUUUAGAAAUGUUUGCAAAUGUAUUACAAAAACCCCCAGGAAAUAUCACAUUUUCACAAGUAUUCAGACCCUUUAGUCAGUAAUUUGAAGAAGCACCUUUGGUAGUGAUUACAGCCUUGAGUUGUCUUGGGUAUGAUGCUACAAGCUUGCUCCACCUGUAUUUGGGGAGUUUCUCCCAUUCUUCUCUGCAGAUCCUUUCAAUCUCUGUCAGGUUGAAUGGGGAGCAUUGCUGCACAGCUAUUUUCAGGCCUCUCCAGAGAUUUUCGAUCAGGUUCAAGUCCGGGUUCUUGCUGGACAACUCCUGCGUUGUCUUGACUGUGUUUUUAUGGUUGUUGUCCUGGUUGGAUGGUUAAACUUCGCCCCAGUCUGAGGUCCUAAGAUCUCUGGAACAGGUUUUCAUCAAGGAUCUCAUUGUACGCUGUUCCGUUCAUCUUUCUUUCGAUCCUGACUAGUCUCCCAGUCUCUGCCACUGAAAAACAUCCCCACAGCAUGAUGCUGCCACCACCAUGCUUCACUGUAGGGAUGGUAUUGGCCAGGUGAUGAGCAGGGCCAGGUUUCCUCUAGAUGUGACGCUUGGAAUUCUGGCCAAAGUGUUCAAUCUUGGUUUCAUCAGACCAGACAAUCUUGCUUCUGUCUGGACACACUACCAUAAAGGUCUGAUUGGUGGAGUGCUGCAGAGAUGGUUGUCAUUCUGGAAGGUUCUCCCAUCUCCACAGAGGAACUCAAGCUCUGUCAGCUUGACCAUCGAGUUCUUGGUCACCACCCUGACCAAGACCCUCCUUCUCCAAUUACUCAGUUUGGCCGGGGGGAGUCUCAUAGCAAACGGUCUGAAUACUUAUAUAAAUAAGGUAUUUCUGUUUCUUAUUUUUAAUUAAUGUGAGAACAUUUAGAAAAAUCUGUUUCUGCUUUGUCAUUAUGGGGUAUUAUGUAGAUUGAUAAGGAAAAACUGAAUUUAAACCAUUUUAGAAUAAGGCUGUAACGUAACAAAAUGUGGGAAAAAGUCAAGGGGUCUGAAUACUUUCCAAAUGCGCUGUACAUACAGACAAGAAUGUAUAUCAAUCACAAAUGCUUUAUUCUAUUCAACUAUGCCUUUUAUUUCACGUAAAGGAUGUGUAACGUCAUAGGAUGAAUGCAACGGCAUGUCACAGGAUGAAACGGUUAUCAACUGACAUGUUGAAGGAACUUUAUUAAACUGUUAUUUGAGAUGUU
This is an RNA transcript of Oncorhynchus masou masou (cherry salmon), 4434 nucleotides long. It is a transcript of the gene named islet cell autoantigen 1-like, with no coding region annotated. The transcript is spliced from 13 exons. Lineage: Eukaryota; Metazoa; Chordata; Actinopteri; Salmoniformes; Salmonidae. The record is from RefSeq and is a predicted model, not a curated record.